This is a non-coding RNA of Xyrichtys novacula (pearly razorfish), 19724 nucleotides long. NCBI's taxonomy places the organism in Eukaryota, Metazoa, Chordata, Actinopteri, Labriformes, Labridae. The record is from the annotation of a GenBank genome assembly.
CUCAUAGCUGCAGCGAGACACUGGAUCAGAGCCGACAAGGAACCCGUUUGCCAGCAGGUACGUGCAGUUAAGUAUUACAGCUGAAUAAAUAGUACUAGACAAACUGGGACAAUAAUUUCACGAGGAAGUCAGUAAUUCAAGCUAAAAAUAAAGAGGUAGAGAAGGUCAUUUUGAACACCUAUGGUUUCAAAUACAGCUAUUUGCUGUUUUUGGCUGUACUCAAACAAAAUUCUUUAAAGUAAAUAUAAAGAAAAAGACAUCUUCAAAAAGUAAUUGUGUUAAGUGUAGGCAUAUGUUAAAUCACAUGUCUAAACUAUGCAAUUGUCAUUUCAGUCAACUCUGACCUGUAAAUGAAGCCUGGAACCAACUGAUUUCAUCAGUAACAGCUGCAUUUUUACAUGACGUCUAAAACACUCACAUUCCUCAGAGGCUCAUAUUUCUGUCCACUUCACAAGUCAAGACCUUUCUCGCUACUUCAAGUCUUACUUGGUUUUAUGUUAACCUGGGUUUUAUUGAGCCUGGCAGUGUGUCUGAGGCAGGACUUUUAGACAUCUGAUGUCGUGGUGGGGUAAAACAAUCUGGGUAGAAGACUUUCAGUUGUGAUUACACAGAAGACAAUGUCUCCACCGAAUGGAAGUAAAGUCAGGACUUUGAAUGAAAUCUAUUAAAUGUAUGCCAUUUGUAAGGCUCACAACCUCACAAGCUUUGAGCUUUAUCUAUAGUAUAUAUUCACAGCCCUUACUAAACUGUAUGAGUUGCUGGGGUGCAGAUUCAGCUCAAAUGAAUGUUGGUUCAAGCAACAAAAAAGGGAAAGGUGGGAAAAUCACUUACCAUACUCCAAAAUCAAGCAGGUUUACAUCUGUUAGCCCAAACAUCAAAAUUUAAGCAAAGAUAAACUCUAAAAAUGAAGUGAAGGAAGGUAGCUCUCAAUUUUGCAAACAUACUUUCAAUUUAAGAUUUUUUUCCGACCAAUUAUUCAGUGUUAGAAAAUUGUAGGUGAUGCACAAAUAAUGCACGUAAACAAAUUUUCCCCAAAUCAAAUCCAAAGCAAACCAUUACAUCUGAUGUAUUCAUGUCAGACACUGUGUAAAGUAAGGUCAAUCAAGUAGCGCUGUACAUAGACAGUAGAAGAAGAGCUGAUGUAAAACACGGCGUUUAGGGGAGGCUGUUUGUGAGGUGAUACUUUUUAAUUGCCUCAGACAAAUUUGUUUGGAGACGAACGUCACAUUCAGAACAUUAAAGUGGAUUUCAGCGGAUGAGCACGUAAAAGGCGUGUCCUUGGGGAGCAGUGUGAUGUGCUGGUAAUGAGUGGAGGUAAUGAAAGACUUCACAUAGACAGAUGUAUCCAUUUAAAAUAGUAAUAACUACAGUUAAGAUGGCAAAGAGCAAAUUACACACAACUUUCACUGAGGCAAAUGUUUAUACAGACUCUGCAGGGACCUGCCAUUUUUUUUACUGAGUCCCAGGGAAGUUAAGGGAGCUCCUGACGACUCUCAUUGCCCCUCAAACAAGGUCGAAACUGUGAUAGAAACAGCAUGACAAGUGCUGCUGGGUACUGUACCUCUGAGACCAUGCAGGCUUGGCUCCAUGCUUUAUGCACUACACAGCCAUUGUUGUGUGCGCUGAAUGUGUGUUAGCUAAAGAUACGCUUUUAUUUUCAAUGAUGUAUUGUUUAUUUAAGUCCUCUAUUUGCAUGAUUAAAUCCAGCUUCAACACCAACAGGAAAAAGUCAUAGUUCCUACGUUUAAUUACGACGGAAGCCUUUUGCGUCAUGCGACAAGAUUAGAGGUUAGUCCUGCUUGCAGCUCAGUCUGCAGGCAGAGCAUGUGUGACCUACAAAGGGAUGCGUGUCCAUCCAUAUGGAUGCUCUAUCUGCGCGCUGACAAGGUAAAUGACACUUUAUAGAGCUGUGUCACUCAUCGCGCUGCAUGUGUUUGCCAAUGAAGUGUAGGUUAGGCCCAAAGCCUUCACCUCUCGUCUGUUGUUUCAGGUCCAGCCUGCCAGUGAAUCACUAAAGGUCAAUAGACUCAAAUGACGGAGCUGAGCACUUCUUCAUUCUGCUCUGAUAGAGAGCACAGUGCAAGUUAAAGAGCUGAGUGUUGUUUGACAGCAGUGCACACCUUACCUGAGCAGUCAUUUUGUGCUAUGUAAUUCCCCAGGCAUUGUGUCACAGAGAUGCCUGUGUGGACUCGCAGGCCUUUGUUGUGGAGUCACAUAAAAUGAUGGAUAGUACAUGAGUGAAUGAAGAUGAACCUCUCUGCACUAUGUGUGUUUUUGCUGCCUCCUCCUCAUGUUCUCCUGGAGGCCAUUUAUCCUGAUUUAGACUCGAGUGGGAACAUCAGUACUUCCCCUUUGUGCCGGACAGAGACUGAUACUCAGCGUCAUAAAGCCUUAGCAGCUUUUCGCUACAAAUUCUGAGGUGGAAAUCUCUGAGGAAUGGUGUUUGUCUAAAACUUUGAAGAAUAGAGUGGUAUACGCCUGUGUAGAGAAAGAAAGCGCGAGGGAAGAGGAAGAGGGAGAAACUGAGGACAUGAGUGUCUUUGCCUCUCGCAGUCAGCAUGCACAGAGCUCGCCCGCCAUGUGCCAAAGCCGUGCUUCCCACGCAGCUAAUGGUGGGGAUGUGGAAAUGAGAGGCUGGCCGGGGCGAUGGAGGCAGGGGAUGUGUUAAUUGAAAGUUAGGAUCACUUUGUGGCCAUUACGAGGAAACCUGAGACGUGUUAACGCAACAGAGUUAGGCAGCACCUGCUGUCACCAGCUAAUUGUGUUGGGUUUGGUCAUGUCUGUCAGGAGCGGGUUCCCAUCACGCUCUGCCUCUAGUUACAGCUGUAUUACUGCCAGAGUUGACAUUACAGCAGCAGCCACAGGGGAGCCAGAGCCAACCUGCGACCUCGCCACCGCGACUCAGUCUGAUGGAUCCUCAAAAGCCGAUAUGAAUCCCAGCCAUGUCAUUAUUUCGCCAUUUGUGGGUUUUCUUAGAUUUUAAUUGCAAUAAAUUAGACACCAGUCAAAUUUUGUGAGCAGUAUGUCCUUUUUAGCUCAUUAUAUUUUGGAUUAGUGUCUUUAAUCCCAGAAUGGUGUAUUGACUGACUGAAUAAGCCUCUGCUAGGCGAAGAAAAAGCGAGCAGUGUGUUUCUAAUUCAUCCUUACUUACAUAUGCAUCAGUCACAAACCAGGGUGCUGUGCAGAUGACUCACUGAGGAGGCAUACUGUGCUUUUGAGGACCUGCUAGGGGCAGCAAUGUAUAAUCUGAUUUAGACUAGAGCAACCUCCUAUUUAUUUUUAAUUGUCCCACUUUAGCAUUUAAGAGCUAUUGAUCCCCGGAAAAGCAUUAAGUGACAGAAACACUAUUACUGUUAGUGCUCCCUGCUUGGGGAAGGCACAUCAAAGGACAUUUUAAUGUCACUGACUUUCUGAGGGAAUUUGAAGCCGGGUUUUGAACAGGCCAGCCUAUGAACGCAAAGGACACACAAUAGACAAACGCAGAAACAAAUGUGAGGGCAAUUUACAGCUAAUCAAAGAAUAGCUAGGAAUUGAUUUUCUUUUUUUUUUUUUUCUGGGUGAAUGUUUGUGGAGCAAGAUUUUUUAUAAAACAGCAACAUUUAAAAGUCAUGUUAGGCUCUUGUUCAGUCCAAAACCCUGAUCGUUGCAAUUUAUUAUUUAUAGAGAAAAACAAGGAGAGAUUAGAGGGCUCGCAGGAAAACUCUGCAUCUAUCACGCUGAAUCUAUUCAUGAAGAUUUUCCACAUUAUGCUCACGCCCGGUGCCUUAUUUGUCCGGUAUUUGUCUGUGGAUAUCACACCUGUAAUCUACGUAGGGCUCUCUGUUGAACAGUCGCCUCGCAUUGACUCGGCUCUCAAAAUACGUCCCUUUCAAGUCAGACCUCCCCCUUCUUCUGCCACCAUCCCCAGAUGUUUUGAUUAGCAGCAACUCGUAUGCUGGUCAGAUCCCGGGAUUAAUGAUGGAUAAUUUGCCUAAGGUUGGCACAGCACACCGCCACGCUGCCAGCCUUUGGAUGCCAUAUGGGCAGAAGCAGCUGUUUUCAUUACUCUCCCUUGCCCAGAUGUGUCAAACAGGAUGCCGACUUCAAUCCGCAGUCUUGCUGGCACUUGGUGGGGGGUGCUUUCUACUAGCUUGGCAGCUAAUUACUUUAAUGUAGCUGGGUAUGGAGGCCCUGCGUGUUUUUUAAAGGCCUUUUACAAACAGCUGAAUGCCAGCUGUCACCUCUGUGCACAAUGAGGGAAGAUGGAUAGGUAGUCGCUGCGAGUCUGAUGAGGUUGGCUCUGGGCACAGACCCAGCCCAGACCAGGGGCAGGGUUAGCCUCUGCUCACGAACAAUGAGAAGGUCAUCCCAAAUACAUGCUGGCGAGCCACGUGUUCACAGCACCGCAGUGACACCUCUCACUUUGCUAAAUUCUGCACUUUCAGAACCGACCUUGCCCGUGUUGACCAUGUGGCAGCGUUGCCCCCUCUCUCUCUCUCUCUCUCUCUCUCACUCACUCUCCACCCAAAAACACCACUACUCUUGCAAGGCUUGUUCAAUGAAACCAAUGUGAAUGUGGUAAUCUGAGCCACAGAGGUACAGUGCCAAGUCACAGCAAAGACCACACACAGGAUAAGCUGGCACAGGAGCAAAAGAACGGCAAGUGAAAACAGAAAGGAGGAUGCUGCCAGAAUGUCAGCUGGGUCUUUACAUGAGAUUGCACACAGCACAGAACAUGUGUUCAACGUGUCCCAUUUCCUGCUGAGCCGCUCUGUUUUAUUGUUCGGUGAUAAAUCCUGAGAUUUGUCCCAACUGCCACAUUUCUCAUUGUUCAGACAACUACGCCGCUGCAGUCUUCAAACCGUGUAUAAUGUGCUUUAAAGUGAUUGACAUCAGUCAGAUAAAACCUCCCCUUUUAUUCCGGGACAUUGACACAUGCCAAACAGCCUGAAUAAUACAAAUAAUAGCACGGCGCAUUCAGUCAAUUCCAUCAUUACGGCAGCACAGGGCAUCAAUAAGUUUUCAUUAUGUUGAGAUGCCAUGUCUAUAAUAUCACUUAAACAGUGCCCAGCAGCAAGAGAGGAGUGCUGACACGCUGAAAGGGUCAACAGCAGCUGUCUGUGGCUUUGAUAUUUCCAUCAAUAAGGCUUCAUGUUUCCACACCUGUAUGUCCUCUCUCCUGUAAUGAUCAACAAGGGGUUGCUAGCAGUCAAUACACUAUGAUAGUUUCUACCUAGGGCAGGGGAUGAUGAAAGCAUUGUCUUCAUGCUGUGCCUCCAGUCAUCAAGGUGCCGUAACGCGUCCAAUGACCGGCUUCUUUUGAACCGUGUUGAGUUUUUCCCUCGUAGGUCGCCAGAUAAAGGUUGAAUUCAAAUGUUAGGAAUUUUUAAGCGCUGCUCGUCUUAUUGACAGGCUUCAGAACGGGAGCGAUGUGGGAACAGAAUAAACACUCCCUCGCAGCCCGAUUCCAACAAAGUCACAAGGGUGUUGUUUUUGUUGCUGUUGUUUUUGUAAAGUAUUGAUCUUAAUGUUGUGCUUCAUGUUUCAGUCUCUGUUGGGGGAGCCAUGAGUAAAGAGAGCGUUUAGUAAAUCAAAAGAUGUUCUUUUAAGCAAGGGUACCACUCACUUUCUUCUCCUUCCCUCUUUCUUUGUAUUUUGAGUGACAUUUUGUUCAAAUUACUGACUGCGCCUUAGGGGAGGUGAUGCUGAACCUUAAACUGUUAGCAUUGUAAAUACAAGUGCUGCCUCAUUUCCUCCAUGUAGUUCAUAAUUCAAAGUGGUGUUUGUUCACCGCAGCUCCAACACUUUCUCCGUGUAGUGCGCAUCCCCUUCACAGCACUUUUAUAGUCAUGCUCACUUUUGGGCCUUAGCCUCUACUCCCAUAGGAGCCUAUUAUCCUUCUUAACAUAUGCAAAAGCUUGCUGGAUUGUGCAUCAUACUCACUUAGGGACUUGACACACUCGUGUUAUGAGGCUGGUACUUGUGUGCGGGCUGCUCAGCAUUAUUGCAGGGUUGCUUCUCAUUUGGAAAGCUCUCCUCACUCUGAGGGCUUUCACAAAGAAAGUCAUUAUAAGUUUGGAGCAGACAUGAAGGGUCGUGAAACAGACGGAAGACAUUAAUAUAUGUUGGUAGGAGUUUGGAAAUCACGAAAACCUCCACAGUCUGGUCGCAAGCUGCGAGACCAGAUAGGUCUUUAAGUCCAAGUUUGUCCUUUCUUAAGCGUAUAUGUAGAAUAAAUAACCUUGUUCUCUCUUUCUGGUGCUAAAAACACACUUUUGGUCUUUAAUUCACCUACAGACCAUCACAUUUUUUAUCCACGAGAAGUAUGUUAUAAAUAUUUUUAAUUAGAUUCGAGGACACAGAAAAACUAGCAGUUUUUCUCAUCAUCACGUCUGUUCAGAAAGCGCACACUCAAUAGAGAUGGGGGCACCUCAGCAACGCUUUGAUUUCAGCUAUGAAAUUUUAAUUUGAAAAAAGAAAGGAGGGAACAUAUUGCGCUCAUUCAAAUCUAACUUUGUUCCCUCAAACUGGAAGAUUGGAUUUUCUUAAUUAAAUUAUCCCCCUUGUUCACAUACUCAAGGGGGCCAUUGGCUCAAGGCAGUGAGAAAAAUGUGUCUGGGUUUUUGGAUGCUCGGCUGGCAUAAUGCUGGUUUGUGAAGAGAAUGAAAUGUUUUGUUCUGCUUAGACUCCUUUUUUCCAUUCCAUUUGGACUCCUUUUUUCUAACUGGCCGUCCCUGCUUUCUUCUGUGCUCCUCUGUGUUGUGCCAGCAUCAGCCCUGAGCCUCUCACCGAGAGAACGCUUUGAUGUGUCCCCACUGUGCCGCCGCCCCCCUGUGCCCUGAUUGGUGGAUAGCAGGCGGGGCUGGCGGGGCAAUGUGGGAGUGGAUGGGGGAUGAAAGCGAGCAGGGCAGCGAGGGGGCACCUGCACACAGAGCCUUGCCUGUGUGUCUGCUUCAUCUUCAACUGCUUCCCUUGACCGCAGGCUGAACUCCUGUGUCAGCGACCAUCACACGGUCGCUGUGACCUCCCUCCCUCUCUCUCUUCCCCUCUUUCUCUCUCUCUCGCUCUCUCUCUCCCUGUCCCUCAAUUUAUUCCCUCUCUCUCUCCCUACACAUCCUUCUCUUUUCUUUCACUCCCUUUUGUCUGCCUCUCAAUAAAUGUGUUAUGAGAGAGUAGCAGAUGACAGGUGAAUCUCUCUGUGUGUGGAGUAUUAAGCAGAAUGUGAAUCUAAUGAAACUCCUGCGUUAUUCAGGCAGAUUUACAAAAGCACCGAGAUAAAUUCUCAUCUCAGGAAGCAUAAGGUAUAACUUAAAUACAUACUGAAGAGUUUUAUAAACCCGACCAAAAUACAGAUUUUAAAUUUCCAGCGAACAAUAUCUGACUUCAUCUGUCAACUUCAAAUCUCCUGUGAAAAUUUGAUUAACCAUAAAACACUGCAUUUUGUCACUCCUGUAAUACCAUUUAGAGCUACCAGAGGGUCAAAAGUGACCCGCCCACCCCCUUCUUUUAGUUUUAUUGAGAUGCCUCAGCAAUAAGAGUACUGUUUCAGCACAGCUGUAUGCCAGGGCAGACCAGUCUGCAACAAAGACUGCCUCUGUGCCAUCACAUUUUUAGACUUUGCUGGGUCCAGGAAAAUAAAGGGGGGAGUUUGGUUUGUGGCCGUUUUACGGUUAGCUCAUGUUACCGACAUAACAGAUUUACUUUUGUUUGUUUUUUAUGUGGUCACGGUGCUCAGAUUAAGAUCAGAAUUUGAAUGGUAGUAGUUUCCUCUCAAACCUGAACGUGAUUAAAACAGUUUUUAAAUCAAGAUUGAAACUUGUGACAUGUAGGGAAAAUACCGCACCCAUCAUUUUAAUAUAAAAUCCUCUGACUAUGCCCCUGAUUUUCUCUGUGUUACUUCAUGUGGUUUUAAUCAAAAGAGACACAUAGAAGUAUCAGUGAUUAGCAUCUGUUUAAAGCACCACCUAUGACCCUAAAAUAUGAAGCCUUAACAACACUCACUUCACCUCCUGUGGUAAUUGAGCUCUGACCCUUGUGUAUGUGUUUGCAUUUAAAAAAUUGUGCGUGUAUUUCUAAGAAGAAAGGUGUUAAUUUCUACUUGCUGCGUUUUGUUUUCUUCCUUUGCACAGCUGUGACUCCACUCCUCCGUGCUGCUCUCAGGAAACACUCAAUGAUUAAGAUCGGUCUGCUUUUUAGAGCUUUUUGGUGUACAGAGAUCUUAGCUGACCCUGCGUAAAUGCAGUUGUUGCAGAGGUGACCUGCUUGUAAAUGAGGGUCACGGUUCAGGUGCUAAAGGUCACAGGAGCCGGCCUUCUCUGUGCGUGAGGGCACCUUAGUGGCUGCCACCACUGUGACCUCCAAAUGCUGAACGUGCAUUUGAUUGUGUUAGGGCCAAUAAGGUAUGGAGCUCCCAGGCAGCAGAGAGGUCACCUCUGGGCCCAUUGAGAUGUGAAAGGUGACAGGCAGCAGGAUCUAAGCCAAUAGAACUCAAAGAGCAUCUGUCAGAUGUCUUGGACAGGAGUGUUUGCUCAGCAAUCAGACUUCUUUCUUUGAAAGAGACACAAGUGCUCCGUGGAUGGAAAGGUGUUCUUCAAUGCUAUUCGAUACUGUAUAAUGGUAGGAAGACUGUUUAUUUAAGUACUAUUUUCAGUAAAAAGCAUUUAAAAGUAACAUAUCCUUAAAUUACCAUUUAUGCACCUUGUUUUACUCACCUACAUGUUUGACGGAAACUCAGAGGAAUUGUUAAAGAAGUGUAAAAGACUUUCAAAGCUGCCUGUGCUUGAGAAUUUCAGAGCAAAGCAUCACAACGCACAGCACUUAGGCCAAAUCCCAAAGGCCGUGACUGGCGCAGCGUGUCCCACAUUAGCUCAACCACAGCUCACUGAAAUGGACUCGCCUGAGUGGAAUGAAACCCAUAAGGCACCAUGCACACCACGCCGGCGGCUUUAUCAGACAAAGAUCAAUGGACGGCAGCAUUCACUCGGAGCACCCAAGCUGCAAGGACAAAUACAGUAUCUUGGGGGGUUGUGAGAGUCAUUGAUAGGCUUAGGCUGUGUAUGUGUACGUCUCGCCUCCUUUAAUCAGGUUUCCCAAUAGCAAACACUGGGCGUCAAGUGAUGCGUUUCAGGCAGCGAGGCCUUUCAGGCAGGACAAAAGGUGGGAGAAGCUGUGGGACUCAGGGCCCGGCCCUCUUCUUGGCUGAAUGUCUCGCAGUUUUCCAGUGGAGCUCAAAAGGCCUUUGCCCUUCCAGCUGUAAAAUUGGCAGACGGGGAGCCUUGAAAAUCCCCCACUAACUGUGAGUCCACACAAAACUGCAGCGUUUACUCUGAAGGAGCUAACCAGGCUUAAACACGGCCCACAUCAGACGGUGGUAGAGACUCAAAACAGCAUAUUUUCCAGAGUGUUAUUGAGGCUAAGAAUAAAGUUUGUAUUAACAUAUAUAUACAGAUUUGUUUUCAUGACGGGGGAUAGAGGAAAAGAGUUUAUGAUAAAAGCAGCCAUUGAAGAAAUUAACAUCUCCUCAAAUAAUAGAAACAUCAAUAAUUAACCUAGCUCUGUAGUCAUUCAAACUGAACAGGUUUAGAUUUGAGGAAGAGGAUUUUCUUCUAAUCAUGUAGUUCAAGAAACCUUGUGAUUUGUGAAAUAAACAUUCCUGGUUUUCAGUCAGAAGAAUUAUUAUAAUUCAAAUGCAUACCACUGAUAUCUGAAGGUUUUGAUGGGUCUGGUAUUACACACCAUGAUAUUGCAACAAGCUAUAACCUUUUUAGUUUAAAUCCAUUACUAUAUGUGUCUGAAAUCAUACAGUACGUGAAUGGUGCUCCCCUGUAUUGAUCCUCAUGCUGUGAGCAUCUAUACAUUAGAGCACUAAGUGAAAGUGCUGCAGGUCUGUGUUCAUAAUUAUUGCAUCACAAGCUAGUGAACUGAACUAAAGCCCCUCAGUGGAGAAGAUCAUUUAUUUAUGAAGUGGCCCGUGAUUUUAGAAGGUCAUGGAUCUUAUGAGGCAUUUUCGGUUUAUAUCAUAAAACAGUUGAUGUUCAUUCAAACAAAGAAGCAGCUCCACAUUAAAAAGCUGUUUAUGAUGCGAUUGCAAUGAACGACCUUUUGAACGUAGUGUGUUAUUAGGAAAUUAGUGACAGUGAGUGCCUAUUUGGAUAAACCACAGAUCAAACCACUGCUCUGUUGUUGUUUAACCAUUAUUAGACACCUUCACAUGUCAUGUGUAAAUACUCAGAUCUAGGUAUAUGUCUGUCAAUGUGCAAGUUAUCAGCUACUUUUUGAUUAAUUAGUCCAUUUUUUUAAAUGAAUAUUGAAAAUUUUAACUUCCUUUUAGUUUUUUCAGACCUGACCUCACUGCAGGAGCGCAGCACUGUGGCAGCAGACAUUCCUGUCGAAGCGUGUUGAACGAUGCUACGAAGAGCAAUCAACUGGUAACCAAAUUAACUUUGAUGUUAAGUGCUGUUGAUGUCACGCAGGUUUUCCAGGUGUUGGGGUAUAUUUAUUUUAUUUCCUUUUUAUUUGUUAAAGAGGGACAGUGUACAUUAAUGAACAUUUUAAAAAGAUAAAAUGUAAAUGGACCCAAUUGUAGCCACAAGGCUAGUUUCCAUUGGUAGUCCCCCAAAAAGGUGGGAAAUCAGCAACUACAUAAAAACAUACAUAAUACACAAUAUUUAAAACAUCAACAUUACCCACCCGAAAGCACGCCAACCAACUAAUGAGAACAAAUUUGGUUUUCAAGUAACCACCUCUUCAAAUUUACUUUAAAUGCUCUGUAUGUUGCUCUUGUUGUAAUGAUUGGUCCUUCAGUUGGUAAUUGCGUAGACCUCAGAGUUGUAUGCUUAGUUACCGAUGGGGCUAUUGUUGGUGGUGGUAGUGGAGAACCAGUCACAAUCACAAUUGUGGUUGUCCAGUUGUUGGAGAUGUUGCUUGUGUGGUUACAACUGGACCCUCAAUUGUGAUAGGAAGCUUUCCGGUUGAUAGUGUUGUAGAUUUUGUAGUUGUUGUUGGUUACUCUAUAGUAUGAGGAGGUGAAGUUGGGGGUCUUGUCGGUGGAGAGGUUGGCACUGCAGUUUUAGUUUUUUCAACUACAUGCGACUACAUCCUGGAUCCUGGAUUGAAACAUUCCGCUGCUCACCCCUUCUGUUGGUGAAGGGAUGGUGGCCUUCAAGACAUAAGAUGCAUGAUAAGUAUGAUCAUCCAUUUGGCAAGUUUUUACCAUCAAACCGAUACGUCAUGAAGUUUGUUUCUUCUGGAGGCUGCAGAUUCAGAUCCUCUGUGGUUUCAGGACUGCAAUUUUAGGACCACAAUCCUAAGACCAUAUAGUAUAUUGGGUAGCCGAGGACUACAUUUUAUUAUCAAGAGGAAUGACAAGGGAAGAUUUAAUUACCCUAUCCCUGACUGUCAAAACAAACUCUGCAGUCACAUGACAUUCAGGGCCAAACACUAUUUUCCAACUAUACUGCUUAAUUACAGACUGCACCUCUGAACUGGGGUGUUUCGGUGCUUUUUAAGCUUUCAGGCUUGAUGCUUUUGUUGUGUUUGACCAAAUUUUAAGGUUGCAGAGUUUAAGAACAAGUAAAUAAAGCCUUAAUUAGGUCAUUUUGUGGUUUUGAUAAUGUUGGGUGAGUGUUAAAUCUUUGAAAAUGUUUUCUUUUUUUUUACAUGUCGUUCACCUUCUGGAUAAAUCAUUUACAGUAGCCUUGAUGAGAAUGUCAGCUGCCUUUAAGAGAACGUACUCGUGAUAGGUAUUCCUUUUACUGAUCAAAUGAAAACUGAAGGAUGCAAUACUUAACUUGAAGCAGCUUUAAAAUGGACACAAUGAGAGAAAACACAGCAGCGUGCACACUAAUUAGGAUAGUUGGUGGUCUUCUGUCACCUUUGGCAAAUGUAUGAAAUCGGCUAACGACGAGGUUAUGGCAAAGGCACAGGGACACUUUGGAGGUAGACAGUGUUGGAGAUGUGCAGUUGACACAGAGCACAUCAGUCAGGGCCUGGCCAUGUUGUUUACAUGAUUCACAGAACUUGCUGCUCAUCACGGCUUGUGGCGCUCUGUCAGGAAGAGAGGGAAGGAUUGUAACUUUGGCCCUAUUGUUUAACAGCACCCAAAGACGGAGGACACAGAAAUUAUUCUGAAGAGCAGGAGGCACACGGUGGAAAAUGACCUUUAACUGCACUUCCUUAGCUGAAUCUCAUCCAAUUAGAGCACUGUAUAUUUUCCCUAAUAGCAGCUGAUGAGGCAGGGCGUAUGAGCGAGCACGCCCGAGCGGCGUUGCUAUGCAGCGAGAUGGCUGCUUAGCACCAGAGGAGCGCUGGGGAAUAAGUGAGCAGAGAGCUUUAAUUUGAUAGGGUUAGAAUCCUGCAGGCUCUGGGGUCGUGGGUCACCAGGAGCUUGUCUCACACUGAAUAUGAAGAAAUCAGAAGUAAAUUGCUUACAUCUGCUGCCAGUGGCUGUGAAGGCUGUGAUUGGCUCCCAGAGGUGUGCACUAUCUAACGCAGGCAGUGGAAGGGGGCCUUGGUGCAAAGAAGGCUUGUAAUUGGAGUAAUUCUGCAUUAAUAGAUGUUAAAAAUCCUCCAAGCAGCUGGUUUGAAAAGCAGUGCCUUGGUGAAAUGCAGCAGGAUUACGGAGGCGUUUUCCUUUUUUUUCUCUCUCUUCCUUUAAAUGCCUGCUCUACAUUGCAAUCACAGCAGCUGGCUGUAAAUGCUUUGUCUCCCUGAUGAAGCCAAUGAUUGUUAUGUCAGACAGGAGAGCAGAUAAAUAAGGUAAACAAAAGUGCCAUGUGAAAAUUACUAUUCAUCAGCAUUGUCCACAGCGUGGAAUGAGAGGAAAUGGCUUGUAAUAUUACUGCCAAUGAAUAAUGUUAUAGCAGGUCAAAGUUUGAGACGCUCCAUAUUGCAUCCUCCAUGUUUCCAUGUAUAGAUUUCAUACCAGCUAUCCGCUUUGUUUGUCUUGUGCUUAUUGUGAAGAGCUAUUCCAUCAUGCUACAAAAACACUGAACAUGUUCUCCUGUUUGUGUGACUCUGUGUGGUGGUUCAUGCGUCUCAUCACAGCCCUACUUUGGGAGUGUGUCCAACAGAAAAUGGGACAGGCUGUGAAUUAUCACAAAUGCUCUGGCAAAUGACACUUCAUUGGAAGGUCUUUGUCACCAAUUAUGUGUCUAUUAAGAAACAGUCAAUCAGUCAAUGUGCAAAUAGCUAACCCUCCAAGGGCUCAGCUAUUGACAGGAAGCUGUCAAUAGUCCAUCUGAUAUGAUUUAGCUGUUGAGGAACUGUGUGCUCACCGCAGACGCUUGACAAUCCAGACGCCCGUUUCUCGGACAAACUCCUAUUCUCACUAGUUUAUUGACCAAUAAUUAUUUUAAUGAGCCUUUUUAAUGGAAAUGUAUUAUUCACAUUGGAUUUGUUGAGUAGCUCACUAAACCUUUUGAUUACAAGGUUCCUGGCACAUCAAGUGUAGGUCGUUUCUGUGCCUAGCAAAAUAAAAGUUUCCAUUUCACAUCAAGGGCAGCACAUUUUUCUGUUAUGUAACACAAAUGAGCCACUUUCCUCUUUGUCUUGUGGCCUCCAGCAUAUUAUGCAGUGUCUACAUUUGACUAAACCAAAACACAAAUUGGAUGUCUGGCAGACUAAUUUGAUUUCCCCAAAAACCCUGAAACCCAAACCCUGUUAGUUACCUCAAAUGAUGGACACUAAUACUGUUUUUUCAGCGUGCAACUCCAGCUCGGCAGACUAUCCCAUCCCAAUCAAAACAGUUGCUUCCCAAAUGUUAUUACAUUAUGUUGCCAUUUUCAGAUAAAUGACUGUAAAACAGCUCUGCCUCACCAUUGAUGUCCAUGCACAAACACAUUACAUCCACUUGUGUACUCUGGUUUCAUAGAGUCCCAUUGUCUCAUUUAACUAACUUAUAUACCCAAGAUUAUGUGCUACAAUACCACCACUGUGAAUUCAAAACUACAUCUCUUAGCUAUAUAAAAAUCAAGAUGCAAAUUAUGCAGCAAAAGUGCGUUUUUUUCCAGUUUGGAGGGCUUUAUCAUGCAUCUAAAGCUGUCACCAGACAUGCAGAAAUAAGGAGAAUAUAAAAACAGGUGUACCCGCCUAAUAUAAGUGCUGAGAGAUGUUUGCUGGAGCUUUUCAGACAAACUCCCCAUCAAACACUGACUGGCUUGUCAGUAAGCAAAUGAUAAAAUAAAUGACAAUCCUGUGACACUGCAUUUGCUUGAACCAGUCAGCUGGGUAACAUAGCUUUCACUCACACGGUGACACAGCCUGACGGAUAAUCAAACAGCCACGGGGCACACGCUGAUACCCUACUUCAGAAAUACAGUUAUUCCUCACCAUAAAAUGCAUGUGAUUUGGCUCAGCUGUUGCCAUUAGGUAGAUAAGUGCAUCUUUUCAAUUUCUCUCCCAAGCUCACAGGAGACUCUUUACGUUCAGGGUGGAUCAGACUGGCAGAGAGUGUGCCGAGGAGCUGAUAGUCCUCAGCUAUCCGCCAUAAUUACCAUGACAGGCUCACUUAAGCUUCUCCUCCAUCCAACAGUAACUGACAUGGAGAGAUCUCAGGAUCCUUGUUGUGCAUAAUGGUCGUACACAGCCGGAAAAAAAAGCAAAGGUUACAGCCUCUACAGUUUAGACAUUGUUCUUGUAAUAAAAGAUGUCUGAAGAAUCUAUUCCAUUAAGAAACUGUUGAAAGAAAGAAGACAGCGAUAAGAUAAAUUAGUCCCAGAUCUUUAAGGAGGACUUAUCACACUUAAAAAACAGAUGCAAAAUAAACUAAAAGAGGGAUUUACUUCUGAAAAAUAUCUUAAAUCUAACCCUCUUCUUCUAGGAAUUCAAACGUAAGCUUUAAUUUCUUACAUUUUCUUUCAAGCUUUUAUUUUAUAAACAGAGGAUUUCAACAUGUCCAGUCCUUUGAUUUUUUUUUCUUCCUUUCAUUUUUUGGCACAUCUGAAUAUUUUUUUUUCUGUUUCCUUGUUUCUGAUAUGAUUUGUGGGGGGAAGAAAAUAAACAGAUAAUCAUUAAAAAGCAAAGUAGUCCCAUAAAUCAGUGCUGGGUGUUCCAGCUGAGGUAGCUCAAUAAGCUCUCCCUUAAACAUUGGCCCAUGGUAAUGGGAAUAUCUGAGGGUCAAUCGGGGUUAGGCAGUCUUCCUCAACAGGAAAUGAGCUUUUGGUGGGCUGUGUUCCCAAGGUAAUGAGCAAUGUGUGUGUGUUUAAUCUUAGCUAAUAUUGUUAUAAUAACUGGAUAAAUUAUUAAAAACAAGCAAAUGGUAACAUUUUUAAGACCACCAGUGCAACUUGAGUUUGUUGCAUUAUUUUACAAGUUUGACACGACAGUGGAGCAGUAAAAUGUUGGAGUACCUUUUCUUUUUACUGUGUUUGGGGAUUGGGAAUAAUAACACUCUACAAACCUGGGGGUAAUCUUUUUUUCAGGGGUCAAAGGCCAUUGCUACACUGCUUAAACAAACGUAUUUUUCACUAGUAAACUUCCACGUCAUAUUCCUGUUUGCAUGCCUCCUCACCUGUAAUUCUUUGCUCAUAUAGCCUUUAUUUAUACCCCACAAUUCAGAAGUCAAAUUUCCACUCUCUUCGUCUGCUGUGAACCAGCAGCAGCAAGCAGGUAGGAAAUCAUGUCCUAAUAUGCAAAUGACUUCCUGAACACCCCAUAUUGUGGAACCACAUGCAUCUGGCAUGAUGGGGCAGUGUGGGACAAAUUGUCCUCAGUCAGGGAUUUUGCUACUCAGCAAAAGCUGAUGUUAAAGAGCGACGCCAUGUUCACAAUUAGCAUGAAAAAGGUGAGUGGGGUAAGGAUAAAGAGUGGAAUUAAGAAUUAAAAAGGGGGAAAACAUCCCCUGUAUCAAUACCACGCAGUUUUAGUGCUGAAAUCACAGAACAAACGCAUCAAAUAAAUACUUUCUUCAUGUGCAGCUAAUUUCACCCCGCCAUUUUGAUCACGUCAUUCCCUCUGGAAAAUUGCAAUUAAGUUUGGAGAGAUAAAACAUGCCAACUACUCUGCAUUUCAAGGCUUGAUUGGCCUAUCAGCUAGUCAGUGUGCCGCCAUGGUUUUCAUCACUGUUAAUUGAUCCUUUCUUUAAUUAAUCUGGAAAGGAAAGCCCAUAUCUCUAUCCUGUCUGAUCGUCCCCUCUGUCUGUCAUAACACAAUAAAGGCCCUAUCCUAUUGCUGCUAGCUCUGCCUUAGCCUCUCCCUCUGGCUCUCAGCCAAACUGACUAUUUAUGGUGCACCUAUCUGAGGACGAGACAAUGUAUGGAGUUCAAUGGCUGGGUUCAUUAACAGUGCUUACCCGGGCUGCUUCUCAUUGCCAUGCCGUGACACCUUGCCUUGAAUAUAUGAAUGUGAAGGUUGUCAGUAGGCUGAGUGUUUUUCUAACUACCCACUGGUCUAAAUGUUGUUCCUUUAGAUCCUUGUCCAACCCCCCACCCCUCACCAUCUUCAACACUGCAGCAUUUCUCCUCUGAUUCAAUGACACCUCUGCUUUUUAAUGCUCUCUCCCUCGUCAUGUAUGUUAGCAUACAUAAUAAUGGCAAAGACUGCUUUCACAUCAAGUGAAAAGAUGAAGGUUUUUGCUUUUUGUGUAACUUUGUAGUUUUAUUCUUCUGUAAUUCCUCUGAAAUUGUUAAAAGUUCAACUCAUUUAAAAACAGUCAAACCAGGCGAAAAAGACAAAAAAAAAGUCUUCAAGUUGGGGUACAUUUGAGAGCAAGUAUUUCUGGCUUUUUACAAAUAAAAAGGUUUCUAAAGGUCUUUGUCUGAUGGGUGUGGUUUUCAUCCUAGCGGAUACCUCAAGACUUUUUCAAAAAAUACUUUCUUUGUCCGUGUUAGAAAAGUCUGUGCCCUCUCUUUUGUGUAUUUUAACAGUUGGCCUGUGAUUCUGACAGCUCUACCUGCUGUAAUGGUUGCCUCUAGGAGGUGUGAAACAAGGUCUUAACACUUUGGCUUUUCAGUAUGAAUGUGUGCUUCUGUCUGUGCUCACAGUUAAAGUUACAAUUGGACCAUAAAGCGUUUUUCCCCAGCAGACUGUAAAGAAAUGGAUGGGAGGCAGCUGAGAAAUGAACAUGUGAGUAUCUGUUUCUGUCUAAUUAAAUCCGCAGAACAGCCUCAAGCCUUCCUCUGCCAAGACUGGAUUCAGACAAACUUGCAGAGCCUGUGGUCUGGCUUCUGUGGUAGCACACUGCCACCUAUUGUUUAAAGUCCUCAUCUGUGCUCUGAAACCUUUGUCUGUUCCUCAGCUGAUUGCUGAAAAGACAAGUUAGCUGCUAACAGAUAACUGAUGAUAGUGACAUCAGUCAUGUGCCGGGAUAAAACACUCUUUUAAGAUCACAUAGCUCUUUUGAAGGCUUCUUUAUUACUAUUUGUACAACACAUAGGCUACCUCUAAUGGCACAAAUCAUCUGAGCAGGAGAGUAAUGUAACCCCCAGCUCUUAUGUGUUAUCAUUGUGAAAUGUGUUUUCUUACUGUGGGAUUCUGCACAGGCCCAUUUGUUGUUGUUGCUCUUGAGAACAAAGCAAAAAGAAGAAGUGGCAGCUGGAGGAGCAAUUUUUGUCCAUCAAGGGCUAUUGAGAGUUCAAUUAUUUAUCUUGUGAAGUGUUCCAAGGAUGUGGUCAGCUCAUCAGGGUUAUAAUGCACCGAGUGAGAGGACAUGUGCACGGAGCGCAUGGAGGAGGAUGUUGUUGUAGUCUGAAAAAAGUCAGCUAAAGCUUGUUUCCAGAUACCAGAACUCCCACGCUCCGUGCAGCUGAUGAGGAAGUCUUAAGAAACGGACACUGUUUAUAUCUGUGCUGCUGAGGAGGACCAAACUGUGAAUGUUGAAAAAAGAAAAAAACAAAACAAAACACUACACAAACUUUAUCUGAGUGACUUCAUUCCUCUUUUAAUAAUAUAUUUAUUAAAAGUGAAUAAAGGGGUACUGGAGGUCAAGCCUGCCGGCCACUCUCACACAGAAACAGACUGUUUGUCCUUUGGAGAAUUUCUGUGGGAGUCUAAAUGACAUUAUACCAACACGCCGUAAACAGUGUAAAAGUUCAUGUUGCUCACCCUUUUUUUAUUUAUUUAUUAAUAUCUAUUUCAAGGCAUGCUUUUGCAAUGCAAGUAGCAAAAUGACUUUUUUGAAUUUAAAAAGUUAAAAGAUUUAUUUCUUUGAUUUUGGUGAAAAGUUUCAUCACCCAGCUGGCACAAAUGACUUUGUAGACUAGGCUGUGGUGAAACGAACGAAUGAUGGAAAUGUUUUCAGGUUUUUACUUUUUUAACUCAAAAGUUUUUUUUUUUCUUUUUUUACAGUUAGACAACUGAUUUAUGAGCCUCUUCCCCUUGAUCAAUAUUCCUUUCUUUAAACAUAGGAUAGAAAAGAAAAAGCUGUCUGCAGCAUAUUGCAGUUUUCAUUUUUUAAUUAAUAAUUUAAAGGUGCAAAAUAAAAUGUAUAUUCUACACAGUAAAAAUGUGUAACUGCUACAGAGCUAAUCCUAAAGGGGUUCACUUGGCAGGAGUGUAUUAUAGAAUUAUUUGGACCUGUUGACAAAGGACUGACAACCCCAUAGACUCAAAAUGCUCAGAUUUCUGAUUUUGUUUCUAGUUUGAAUAAAAGUUGAAAAUUUUAUAGUGAUUUCAUGUCCAAGAGGAAACUUCCCUUUUCUUUCUUUUACACUGAACACCAUCAUAGUAUUUCAAACCAGCAGAGGUUGAAAUCUUUUAUAAGACUUGAUCUCACAAGCAGAAUCAAAGUAAAUAUAUUCUAUCCAGGUUAGGACUCAAUGAAAAACAUCAAGCCAACAAUGAGAAGAGUGGCAGAAGAAAAGCUGUGCUUAUCACUAUUCAUCAUCUUCACUUAAAGCCAAGGAACCUUCAGCCAUUUUUUUUCCAGCACAGCUACAUAACAACAGUUAAUGGAGAGAGGCUGGCAGGAGAAAACCGGAUAUGCAUUAUGUCCAUAAAGAACGUCAAAUUCAGCCUGACAUCAUUCUUUGUUUUGAUCAGUCUUGUUGUGAAGCACAUCCAUAAUUGGAAAGGUUGCAUCCACAAUAAUGUGUAUCAUGAUUUAAGUGUUUUUUUCUGUGUAGUGGGGCAGGUUCAGGGAAGCAUAUUUGUGGUGAGAAUGAUGCCUUUACACCUACAUAGAGAUCUGUGGCUUUACCAGUGUAUUAAACGACAAAACGUUCCAGUGUUCAGCGUCCAGACUCGUCACUGCUCCAGACCUUUAGACUCUGCAUUGUAAAGAAUGACAAAAGCAAAGUUGAGCUGCUCAGCCUAACCCCUCGCUCCAUGUGCCACCAAGACACGUCUUUUUCCAACUUUUCCAACUUUACAAAGUGUUUAAAUCUGCUGUUUCCCAAAGGCAUCCAUGAAGAAGCGAAGUGGAAGUGAGAUCCAGAGAAAUUCAACUGCAGUGAGAACAGCACCCGAGGAAAAAUCCAUCACUGGUUUAUCCCCUAAAAAACGGAUCACUUUCAGAAUUCCUGCUAAUGUCCAUCCAUUUCUCCCAGUCAAAUGGACUCUGGAGAAGUGACUGAUUUUACACUGAACUCAAUAAUCCACAGCCUGUGCAGCUUAAGUCAUGGAGCUUCACUGUGCGUAUGUUAACACCAUUAAAUCACCUCAAAUGCCUACAUGAUUCAAUCUUUUUCACAGUGGACGACAAGUGAAUUGAAUUUCCCCAAAGUGGCUGUCCAUUUCCUGUCUGCGUGUGACGAGUGGCUGUACGGUUGCCGGGGAAUUCAGACCCACUCUCCCCUUCACUUAACUCCCAU